Molecule: ribosomal RNA, 253 nt
Filed under: uncultured bacterium
Lineage: Bacteria
Description: partial 16S ribosomal RNA
Rfam family: Bacterial small subunit ribosomal RNA
Source: RNAcentral
UACGUAGGGUGCGAGCGUUGUCCGGAAUUAUUGGGCGUAAAGAGCUUGUAGGCGGUCUGUCGCGUCUGCUGUGAAAAUCCGGGGCUCAACCCCGGACUUGCAGUGGGUACGGGCAGACUAGAGUGUGGUAGGGGAGACUGGAAUUCCUGGUGUAGCGGUGAAAUGCGCAGAUAUCAGGAGGAACACCAGUGGCGAAGGCGGUGCUCUGGGCCGGAACUGACGCUGAGGAGCGAAAGCGUGGGGAGCAAACAGG